UACGGAGGGUGCAAGCGUUAUCCGGAUUUACUGGGUUUAAAGGGUGCGUAGGCGGGUUUAUAAGUCAGUGGUGAAAGCCGAUCGCUUAACGAUCGAACUGCCAUUGAUACUGUAGACCUAGAGUAUAGAUGAUGUUGGCGGAAUAUGACAUGUAGCGGUGAAAUGCAUAGAUAUGUCAUAGAACACCGAUUGCGAAGGCAGCUGACAAAACUAUAACUGACGCUGAUGCACGAAAGUGCGGGGAUCAAACAGG
Molecule: ribosomal RNA, 253 nt
Filed under: uncultured bacterium
Lineage: Bacteria
Description: partial 16S ribosomal RNA
Rfam family: Bacterial small subunit ribosomal RNA
Source: RNAcentral